Molecule: ribosomal RNA, 324 nt
Filed under: Triticum aestivum (bread wheat)
Lineage: Eukaryota; Viridiplantae; Streptophyta; Magnoliopsida; Poales; Poaceae
Description: partial small subunit ribosomal RNA
Source: RNAcentral
CUUGUAACAAGAGCUGGGUUGCAAGGUUGCAAGCCAGCCCCAACACCUCUGUCCAGCUCCGAAAAAUUAUCCUUAACAGAAGGAAAACUCUUGAAUCAAGAGGACAGCACCAGGUAUAGAAGUAUGGUUGGUGCACUGCAAUAUUUAACUCUGACUAGGCCUGAUAUUUCCUUUGCUGUGAACAAAGUAUGUUAGUUCCUUCAUGCACCCGCUACAGUACAUUUGACAGCUGCAAAAUGCAUACUUAGAUAUAUCAAGAACACUUUCAGUGUUGGACUCACCUUCACCAAGUCACCAUCAACACUUGUCAGUGCUUUUUCUGAU